GAACGGGUGAGUAACACGUGGGUAAUCUGCCCUGCACUCUGGGAUAAGCCUGGGAAACUGGGUCUAAUACUGGAUAUGACCUUUCUCCUUAUGGGGUUUGGUGGAAAGUUUUUCGGUGUAGGAUGAGCCCGCGGCCUAUCAGCUUGUUGGUGGGGUGAUGGCCUACCAAGGCGACGACGGGUAGCCGGCCUGAGAGGGUGAUCGGCCACAUUGGGACUGAGAUACGGCCCAGACUCCUACGGGAGGCAGCAGUGGGGAAUAUUGCACAAUGGGCGGAAGCCUGAUGCAGCGACGCCGCGUGAGGGAUGACGGCCUUCGGGUUGUAAACCUCUUUCAGCAGGGACGAAGCGUAAGUGACGGUACCUGCAGAAGAAGCACCGGCUAACUACGUGCCAGCAGCCGCGGUAAUACGUAGGGUGCGAGCGUUAUCCGGAAUUACUGGGCGUAAAGAGCUCGUAGGCGGUUUGUCACGUCGUCUGUGAAAUCCUAGGGCUUAACCCUGGACGUGCAGGCGAUACGGGCUGACUUGAGUACUACAGGGGAGACUGGAAUUUCUGGUGUAGCGGUGGAAUGCACAGAUAUCAGGAAGAACACCGAUGGCGAAGGCAGGUCUCUGGGUAGUAACUGACGCUGAGGAGCGAAAGCAUGGGUAGCGAACAGGAUUAGAUACCCUGGUAGUCCAUGCCGUANACGGUGGGCGCUAGGUGUGGGGUUCCUUCCACGGGCUCCGCGCCGUAGCUAACGCAUUAAGCGCCCCGCCUGGGGAGUACGGCCGCAAGGCUAAAACUCAAAGAAAUUGACGGGGGCCCGCACAAGCGGCGNNNCNUGUGGAUUAA
Molecule: ribosomal RNA, 836 nt
Filed under: uncultured bacterium
Lineage: Bacteria
Description: bacterial SSU rRNA
Rfam family: Bacterial small subunit ribosomal RNA
Source: RNAcentral